Long non-coding RNA from Juglans regia (Persian walnut), 4718 nucleotides. RefSeq lists it as uncharacterized. Lineage: Eukaryota; Viridiplantae; Streptophyta; Magnoliopsida; Fagales; Juglandaceae. The transcript is spliced from 7 exons. The record is from RefSeq and is a predicted model, not a curated record.
GGAAGAUCCUUCGAGCUUAUCCCAAGCGAGAAAAGCGCCUGGCUUUCUUUCUACGCCUCUUGGUCACCUGCGCGCCCCCGUUUUCUCAUAAUUCCCUUGCAGAUCUCUUCCUCGAGGCUUCCCUGCCUUGCAUCAUGUUCUCGAAUUCGGCUAGGUCGCUUAGGGAGCCACACGCUGAUGGCCGGUAGAAGACUGUGAACCGAUUGACUCUAUUAAAAUUCUGGUCUGAACUUCGAUAGGUCGAGGAUCUUCUUUCUGAGCGAUCUACUUCAAGAUCUCUAAAAUGAUCGCUUCAAUUUACGGGAUCCGCUUCCGUUUCGAUUGCGUGGCGUUCGUCCGGAGCCAAAUUUUCAGGUUCGGUGUCUGAGAGUUAUGGGAAGGCUUGCUGGUCCCCACGAAGGCGCUGGAUCUGUCGGGGCGGGAUUGCGGAGAUGAUGUUAUGAAGAUCAAUUGUGGCAGAUCGUUCCAUGUAACUUGUUGAUGUAAAUGGAUGUAUAGGAUAAUAUCAGGACGAAAGGGCCAGAGUUUGAAUUUGGCUGAUGAGUCCUGAUUCAUCUUUGUCAUCUGACCUUUGCCAUGACAGGUGCGCUUGCAUGGCAGGUCACAAAGAACCAUAAUAAAAAAGUGAUACGUUUUUUGGUUUGAGGGGGAGAUCGCACGGGAAUUUUGCCCGGGGUCUCCCCACCGGUGUGUGCCGUUUCCCUGUGCUGCUUUUUCUGCGAUCGUUUAUAUUUUCGCUCUCGACGCCCAUGGUUGCUUACCAGAUGAAAGGGGUAGCUGAUAUACAUCAGCCAACAUUACGGCUCAUGCACUUGCAAUUCACAUGGAGUUUGAGGUAUACUCUUUAUUUCAGAUUUUCCUUUAUCAAUUUAAUUUAUUCAACUAUAGAUUUAAAAAAAAAAAAAAAGAAUUCAACUAUAGAUUUUAGAAGUGCCGACAAACUAUAGGUUCAUUCCAUCGCAUGUCUCGCAGCAGAUUACGAAAAACGGAAAAAUUAUUAAACUAUAGAUUUUAGACUUAAUUAAUGUCUCGCUGCAUGAGACGUUCGUCAAAUCUAUUGAUUUUUUUUUUGUCAUAUGCAAUAGUCGCCCAAAUAAUACAGAACAAAGUAGAUUAGUUGCAUGAUGUAGGUGUUGAUUCUUUGGUGAACAAAAAAAUUAUAUUUCAACUUUUUUUUAAUAUAUAUAAUAUUUUUAUUCAAAUGUUUUCUCUCAAAUUUUUAAAAUCCUAUAAAACAUCUCAACGCAAAUAUUCUGAGAUGUUCUAAGUGUCCUUUUAAGUUUCAUGUAUUUGAGUUUCUAUUUGCCUUCUCUUUAACAAAUGUUUUUUUAUAGUAAUUAUAUAUAUUCUAUAUAUCCAAACCCAAUGAACAAGCACAUAAGCAAGAUGAAUCUAUUCUCCUUUUAGUGGCCGUAAUUACACUGCUCUACUAAUUAUAUUAUCUCAAUGACAUCAUAAUUUCUCCAUGGCAUCUCAACUCUGGCUUUGCAAGGGCUCAACGUCAGCAAUUCAUGUAAAUAUUCAAAACAUCAGUUAUAAUGUUGCAAUUUUUCCCUCAUAAUUGCCAACGCGUAUCAAUAGCUUGUCCCUUUUUUUUUUUUUUUUUUUUUACUUACUCCGAUAUUGGAGCUGUGAUAUACCGAAACUUGUAGUUAUGGACCACUUUCUUUCUUAUGUUGUGUUAUAUCCUGGAGUUGAACAUGAAAUAGUAUUUCUACUACGCUUUGAGAUCAUGAACUGUAUUCAUGUAUCAAGUCUUUUUGGACAUUCAAAGUGCUUGUGUUGAGGUUGUGUUCGCCCUGCAUAUCGACUCUAGCUGGUGAUGUGGAAAGGUGUUGUGCCACUUGAGGUUUUUGGCUGCCAAAGUGACUUGGAAGUUUGAUUCUUAUGGAGGUUUUGCUGCUUUGUUGUUGCAGCAGAAACACUAGGAAGCAUGAGGUUAUGCAGCAUCUGAGUUGGUGAUACCGAGUAUGAUCCAAAAACUAAAAUCUGAACCUUUUCAUUUUGUAGUUCAUUUUCAAUCUUCUGUGACUACCAAUUUCUUUUCCAGAGUUGAUAAAUUUAUUUUCAGCGUUCAUUAUAAUUGCAGUUAGUAGAAGCAUGUUUUUUUAACUUUUGGCUUUAUUUAUUAUGCUACAGAAGAUUGCCUUUGGCUUUAUUUAUUAUCCUACAGAAGAUUGCCUUUGGCUUUGAAGUUUAAAGUUACGAUGUUUAUGAAUGGUAGUGAAAGUCUUUUGGCUUUUUAUCUUUUAUGCUGUCAGAAGAUUGCCUUAGUUUCUUAGUAAUUUAGUAAUUUAAAGUUACGAUGGUUUAAUGAAUUCAUUAACCAAGCAAGUCAAUCAUUCGAUUGAAUUCAUUAAAACAAUAGCUGAUUUCACCCCAUGGAAACUCAUUCGAUUGAUUGGUAAAAGACUAUAUAAAUCCCUUGGGGAUGUUUCUUUCCGAGUCUCAUACCUCUUAAAUCUUUUGUCAAUGAAAUAAUGUGGUGACACAAGCCGAAGUUCAAAAGGGACCAAGGAGCUUGCAACGUCGGUAUGGUAGGUGAAGAUCUUCGAAGUUGUCAUCGGUCUAAGGGCUUAAGACAUCAUCGUUGGUCUCUUCCUCGAGGCUUCCCUGCCUUGCAUCAUGUUCUCGAAUUCGGCUAGGUCGCUUAGGGAGCCACACGCUGAUGGCCGGUAGAAGACUGUGAACCGAUUGACUCUAUUAAAAUUCUGGUCUGAACUUCGAUAGGUCGAGGAUCUUCUUUCUGAGCGAUCUACUUCAAGAUCUCUAAAAUGAUCGCUUCGAUUUACGGGAUCUGCUUCCGUUUCGAUUCUAGGGCGUGGCGUUCGUCCGGAGCCAAUUUUUCAGGUUCGGUGUCUGAGAGUUAUGAUUUCACGGGAAGGCUUGCUGGUCCCCGCGAAGGCGCUGGAUCUGUGGGAGCGCGAUUGCGGAGAUGAUAUUAUGAAAAGAUCAAUUGUGGCAGAUCGUUCCAUGUAAUUUGUUGAUGUAAAUGGAUGUAUAAGAUAAUAUCAGGACGAAAGGACCAGAGUUUGAAUCUGGCUGAUGAGUCCUGAUUCAUUUUUGUCAUCCGGCCUUUGCCAUGACAGGUGCGCUUGCAUGGCAGGUCACAAAGAACCAUAAUAAAAAGUGAUACGUUUCUGUUUGAGGGGGAGAUCGCACGGGGAUUUUGCCCGGGGUCUCCCCACCGGUGUGUGCUGUUUCCCUGUGCUGCUUUUUCUGCGAUCGUUUAUAUUUUCGCUCUCGACGCCCAUGGUUGCUUACCAGAUGAAAGGGGUAGCUGAGAUACAUCAGCAGAAUUACGGCUCAUGCACUGGCAAUUCACAUGGAGUUUGAGGUAUACUCUUCAUAUCAGAUUUUCCUUUAUCUAUUUAAUUUAUUCAACUAUAGAUCUUUUGAAAAAAGAAGUAUUGAAAUUUGAACUAUAGAUUUUAGAAGCAUGUGUCGGAGCAGAUUAUGAAAAACGGAAAAGAUUAUCUUAAUUAAUAUGUUGGAAAUCUUGUCCAUGGAGCAACAAAUCUAUUGACUUCUUUUUUUGUCAUAUUCAAAAGAUUGUUGCAAACGUUUUCCAAACGUCACUCAAUACAAAAUAUUUGUUAAUUUAAAAUCUUCAACUUUUUCCCAAUUGUUGUAAUUUUUCAAAUUUUUAAACAAAAGACAAUAAUAUUUAAACCUUUUUGUAACUUAUAUUUGUCUAUUUGCCUUCCCUUCUACAUCAAAUGUUUUUGAAAGUAAUUAUCUAUAUAAUCAACCCAAUUUACAAUGAACAAGAACAUAAGCAAGACAAUCAAGUCGCCUUUCAGUGGUCGCAAUUACAUUGCACUACUAAUUAUCCAUGGCAUCUCUGGCUUCGUAAUGGCCUAACCGCAGCAGUUCUUGUAACCUCAUAUUUGCCAACGUGUGCGUCUUUGUUGUAGUUUUGGAUCGAAUAUGGUUUACUAGAUUUCAUUUGUUGGAUCAGCAAGUUUCGUCUUUUGGGAGGACUGUAUGUUAAUAUGUACCGCGUAUUUCUACUACACUUUGAGAUCAAGAACUGUAUUCCUGUAUUAAGUCCUUAUGGGCAUUCAAAGUGCUUGUUUUGAGGUUGUGUUCGCCCUGCAUAUCGAUUCUAGCUGGUGAUGUGGAAAGGUGUUGUGCCACAUGUCAAGGUUUUUGGCUGCCAAAGUGACUUGGAAGGUUUUAGGUGUUUCAAGCAUGAGGUUGUGCAGCAUCUGAGGUGAUGAUACCGAUAGUUGGUGAAGAUCUUGGAAGUUGAGUUAAAUGCUCAUUUCUAAUGGGAUCGGUCCGAAGCUGCUUGACGACAAUAAGGGCUUAACUGGACGUCAGCGUCGGUAAGAACUUCAUUUCUUUCUGUUGAUAACUUUUCUGAUAUAAGCUUGCGAGGCCAUUGCGGUCCAAAAAGUCGUCGUUUCUGAACGAAACUAGUGAUACACCAUCGAGUGUUUCUUUAUUUUCGGCAUGAAAUUAUGCAGCAUUUCAUUUGUUAUCAACCUGAGUACAGAGAGACAAGUGAAGUUUGAUUUAUGGUGGACUCCGUUCAAAAAUUUCAAACUCAGAAAACGAGCUUCCUUUAUCUAUUUAGAACGGUUCCCAUUGUUCUUUUCCUUAUUCCGUAGUCAAGUGAAGUUUGAUUUAUGGUGUAAUUAAUUAUAUGGAAGGUUCCCAUGUUUUAAGAUGGAAUCAUUAUUUAUUUGAAUAAACAUCACCCCAAUAAUCAA